This 497-nucleotide ribosomal RNA is filed under the name uncultured bacterium. RNAcentral describes it as "partial 16S ribosomal RNA". It matches the Rfam family "Bacterial small subunit ribosomal RNA", at positions 28 to 507 of the family's 1533-position model. The record is from RNAcentral.
GAUGAACGCUGGCGGCGUGCCUAAUACGUGCAAGUCGAGCGAACGGACGAGAAGCUUGCUUCUCUGUUGUUAGCGGCGGACGGGUGAGUAACACGUGGAUAACCUACCUAUAAGACUGGGAUAACUUCGGGAAACCGGAGCUAAUACCGGAUAAUAUUUUGAACCGCAUGGUUCAAAAGUGAAAGACGGUCUUGCUGUCACUUAUAGAUGGAUCCGCGCUGCAUUAGCUAGUUGGUAAGGUAACGGCUUACCAAGGCAACGAUGCAUAGCCGACCUGAGAGGGUGAUCGGCCACACUGGAACUGAGACACGGUCCAGACUCCUACGGGAGGCAGCAGUAGGGAAUCUUCCGCAAUGGGCGAAAGCCUGACGGAGCAACGCCGCGUGAGUGAUGAAGGUCUUCGGAUCGUAAAACUCUGUUAUUAGGGAAGAACAUAUGUGUAAGUAACUGUGCACAUCUUGACGGUACCUAAUCAGAAAGCCACGGCUAACUACGUG